RNAcentral lists this transfer RNA (73 nucleotides) under Bos taurus (domestic cattle). It matches the Rfam family "tRNA". Rfam says of the family: Transfer RNA (tRNA) molecules are approximately 80 nucleotides in length. Their secondary structure includes four short double-helical elements and three loops (D, anti-codon, and T loops). The record is from Rfam by way of RNAcentral. Lineage: Eukaryota; Metazoa; Chordata; Mammalia; Artiodactyla; Bovidae. RNAcentral also lists the same sequence under 4 other names.
UCCCUGGUAGUCCAGUGGUUAAAACUCUGUGCUUCCAAUGCAGGGGGUGCGGGUUCGAUCCCUGGUUGGGGAA